This is a long non-coding RNA of Eucalyptus grandis, 1770 nucleotides long. RefSeq lists it as uncharacterized. The record is from RefSeq and is a predicted model, not a curated record. NCBI's taxonomy places the organism in Eukaryota, Viridiplantae, Streptophyta, Magnoliopsida, Myrtales, Myrtaceae. The transcript has 2 exons.
UUGUUCACUGUGCGAAUUGUACCGGGGCAAAACUCUGGCUUUUGUCUUGCCCAUUUUGGAAUCUCUGAUGAAUGGGCCUGCAAACCUCAAGGAAGACAGGAUGUGGUAGGCCACCAAGUGUUUUGGAGCUUUUACCUACUAGGGAAUUGGCCAAGCAGGUGUUUCCUGAUUUUGAAGUUUAUGGUGGAGGAGUGGGCUUAACAUCAUGUUGUUUGUAUGGUGGAGCUCCCUAUCAUGCUGAUUUUUCAUAUUACUGCCUUUUGCUGAUUUGGGUAGCAUUGCUGCUUAUUGGGUCAAAACUAGUUUAAGUUGGCUGUUUAGUUUAGAAUCCUGGUAUUGUUUGGAUGGUCAAUGAGCAACAUUUCUUGUUCUUUCACUGUAUGCAUACUGAAAGAUUGUUUGUAAGUGACUUAUUUUAGAAUUUGCCUUCUGUGUAUGUGCGAACAAGCAGUGCACUUGAUGCGCCUCAUUGAACAACAUCCUGGACAACUUGCAAACAAGCGCUUUUCGCAUACAACUUGCAGUCUGUUGCUCAUGCAGUCACAGUAGCUUGUUUAUUUGGGAUGCAUUUUAACUUCCGAACUAAAUUCCUAAUUGCUGGUCAAGGGGAUUGCUGUCUUGAAGAGCGGUGGACUUAUUCAACUAUUUUGGCCAUAUUGGAGUUGCUUAGUUUUAAAACCACAGUUAGUUUUCAGGAUAUAUGCUGGCUAAGAAUGCUGUUGGUUGUACUGAGAAGGGAAGAGGGACAUGCAUAUUGGGCUUGCAUUGCAAUUUUGAGAUUUCAUUCAUGUAAUUGAAAUUAAUUCCUCCUCAAAUUGGUGUUAUAUCCACCAAUCCACCAAUUGCUUGAUAUGGUCUUUGGUGUCUGAAAGAAUAUGUGAUGUUAUUUUCUUAUCAAGUGAGUUACUGAAAUUGUGCCAUUACCCCUCAUUCCAAUUUCUCAUAAGCCUGUCUUCAUGGAUGAAGACGAAGCACCGGUAACAUCUGAUAAUGAAGUAAAAGAUGAGCUUGGAGGCUGGACAGAAUUUAAAGAAUUUGGUAGUGAUGAAGGUCCUGUUAAUGAGGAUGAGGAGGAAUUUAUUCCGGAUGAGACAAUUCAUGAAGCUGCAGUGGGGAAAGGGCUGUUGGGUGCCCUAAAGCUGCUCAAGGAAUAGGGAACACUUAAAGAAACUGUUGAGUGGGAUGGUAGAAACAUGGAUAAGAAAAAAAGCAAGCUCAUAGGCACUGUGCUUUGCUCAGUAUUUGGAGUUCUUGCAGUUUGUCAGAUGCCGAGAGGUAAGUGACGAGGGACUGCAGCAUGUUAUCCACUUUCCUUCUUUGCGGACCUUGCGAUUGGUAAAGUGCCUAGGAGUCACCAAUGAUGGCCUGAAGCCACUUUUGGGACCACAAAAGUUAGAGUUGCUUGUGGUGGAAGAUUGUCCUCAGAUUUCAGAAAGGGGCCUUCAAGGUGCUGCAGAAUAUGUUUCUUUCAGGCAAGACUUGUCAUGGAUGUAUUAAAGCCAUAGGGGCACCCGUUCUGUCCUUGUGUCUAUUGGAUUGAGUAAUAAAAAUAUGUUUUCUUGUAGUUCAAUAGAUUUGUAUAUGAUUCAAAAGAUCGUGCUGUUUAUGUUUAGAGGAAAAACAAUUGUGUUGUCAUUAGUUGCUGGACUGGUGUUGUAUGUCCAUGCCAAGGCAUAUGCCUUGCCUUCUUUUUCGUUGCUUAAGCAAAGCCCCUGUUGAUGAUGUGUAGUUGAAUGCUCUCUUCAUUAAUCCUAUUCAUAAUUUGCUCUA